GGGGACGUAAUGGUUUCGACAGGGUCAAUGAAGUGUGUUAAGCGAGCCGCAGUUUGUCCGGUCUGCGUUAAAAAGGACACGUUAAAUACAAACGCAAAAAAUAACAACAACGAAUUCGCACUUGCAGCUUAGUUCUGCGCGAAGGUCAGCCUGUGUUCACCUGUAGACACGGGGUCUGAUCUCAAACAUGCAGGAAACUCCGCGGGAGUGCCCGGGACCGCGGGGGAAUAACGGGAUAACCGAUCACAUAGCCUGUCUCUGGACGGUGUGACCGGCGAAAAGCCAAACAGAGACUGCGCUCGGAGAAGUACACGUGGAACUGAUUUUGGACGCGGGUUCGACUCCCGCCGUUUCCACCA
Molecule: transfer-messenger RNA, 359 nt
Filed under: Anaerovoracaceae
Lineage: Bacteria; Bacillati; Bacillota; Clostridia; Peptostreptococcales
Also listed under: 2 other names
Description: RUG100 sp900315555 Standard tmRNA
Rfam family: transfer-messenger RNA
About the family: Bacterial tmRNA, also known as 10Sa RNA or SsrA, is named for its dual tRNA and mRNA-like properties. Its role is to liberate the mRNA from a stalled ribosome.
Source: RNAcentral